GUAARCGACCYGUCUYGAAACACGGACCAAGGAGUYUAACAUYUAUGCAAGUGUUUGGGUKUCAAACCCAUGCGCGUAAUGAAAGUGAACGGAGGUGAGAACCCUAAAGGGCGCAUCAUCGACCGAUCCAGAUGUCUUYGGAYGGAUUUGAGUACGAGCAUAGCUGUUGGGACCCGAAAGAUGGUGAACUAUGCCUGAAUAGGGUGAAGCCARAGGAAACUUUGGUGRAGGCUCGCAGCGGUUYUGACGUGCAAAUCGAUCGUCAAAUUUGGGUAUAGGGGCGAAAGACUAAAUGAACCAUMUGGUAGCUGGUUCCUGCCG
Molecule: ribosomal RNA, 321 nt
Filed under: Miriquidica leucophaea
Lineage: Eukaryota; Fungi; Ascomycota; Lecanoromycetes; Lecanorales; Lecanoraceae
Description: partial 28S ribosomal RNA
Rfam family: Eukaryotic large subunit ribosomal RNA
Source: RNAcentral